UCUGGCGGCACUAGCGCGGUGGUCCCACCUGACCCCAUGCCGAACUCAGAAGUGAAACGCCGUAGCGCCGAUGGUAGUGUGGGGUCUCCCCAUGCGAGAGUAGGGAACUGCCAGAC
Molecule: ribosomal RNA, 116 nt
Filed under: Salmonella enterica
Lineage: Bacteria; Pseudomonadati; Pseudomonadota; Gammaproteobacteria; Enterobacterales; Enterobacteriaceae
Also listed under: 12 other names
Source: RNAcentral